UACGUAGGGUGCAAGCGUUAAUCGGAAUUACUGGGCGUAAAGCGUGCGCAGGUGGUGAUGUAAGACAGGUGUGAAAUCCCCGGGCUUAACCUGGGAACUGCAUUUGUGACUGCAUCGCUGGAGUGCGGCAGAGGGGGAUGGAAUUCCGCGUGUAGCAGUGAAAUGCGUAGAUAUGCGGAGGAACACCGAUGGCGAAGGCAAUCCCCUGGGCCUGCACUGACGCUCAUGCACGAAAGCGUGGGGAGCAAACAGG
This 253-nucleotide ribosomal RNA is filed under the name uncultured bacterium. RNAcentral's name for it is "partial 16S ribosomal RNA". It matches the Rfam family "Bacterial small subunit ribosomal RNA", at positions 524 to 776 of the family's 1533-position model. The record is from RNAcentral.